RNAcentral lists this small nuclear RNA (102 nucleotides) under Castor canadensis (American beaver). The record is from RNAcentral. Lineage: Eukaryota; Metazoa; Chordata; Mammalia; Rodentia; Castoridae.
GUGCUCGCUUUGGCAGUACAUAUACUAAAAUCGGAACAAUACAGAGAGGAUUAGCCCCUGUACAAGGAUGACAUGCAAAUUCGUGAAGCAUUCCAUAAAAAA